GCAAGUUUUUAUUUUAGAGAAGAGAGAAAGCAUGUCCAUGCAUACCUGAAUCAUGGGGCAGAAAGUGAAAUGUGGUGCAGAGGAAAUUCAGGCGAGGAGCCACAAAAACUGAGAGCAAAGUGACUUUGCUAAGAGGCUCUGGGAAAAAUCUCAAAGGGGAGGAGCAAAUGCCCAGACCUAGGAGACUGGGCAGAAUUUGGACACAAGGAAGUCAUUGUGGGCUGACAGUACAGGGUCCAACAGAGGCAAAGAGCUGGAAAUGCAGGGAAAGAAAGGGGAACAUCCUCCUCUUCCAGCGGAGGAAGCUGGGUGAAGAAAGGAGAAGCAUUGCGCUGGUGUGGGAAGCACGGGGCCGCUAAGGUUGAAGGGAAGAAGCCAAGACUCAAGGAGUUAAGAACUUUUCCAAGGGUAGCUAUUAGCCAGGACUCAAACCUACAUACUUGAAUGAAUUUCUACAACCUGUUAUUGAAGACUAAGGAGUAAGAAUUCUGCCGGAAGACUGUGUUGCCGAACCAAUCAGUUUGUCUAAAACUCUUUCACUCCCCAUCCCCAACUCCCUGUUGGCCUAGGGGCAGUCUGAGAGGGGGCUUAGAAUAAAUCAGAAGAGGGGUCUCAUUCAGAUUGUUUUGCUGUGAUCACAUGUGAGUCAGAUUUUUCUUCUGUAACAAGAGGUAGUUGAAGAGGUAAAUCCCUAAGCUUUCUGCCAUUGUAGACAGGUGUUCUUCUCUGAUCCUCAGGGCCACAGUCGGAAAGGAAGUUGUCUGCACUGAGAACCGGGAGGGAUCCCUCCGUUGCUUCCAUGAGGGUGCGGGACUCAUGGCUCUGGGCCUCCAAGGCACCACGGCCUCUGGCUCCAUUCCACCCUCCCCGCGCUCUCCUCAAACCUCAGGCUUCCUUUUUCUGCCUGCUGCAGGGCUUCUCAGCCUGGGCUGGAUCCUGGACAGACAGGCCCAGGCAGGCUGUGCACUGUGACCUGGGGCCUUGCUGUGAACAAAGAGGACUUCAAGAGGAGAUGGCCUGGAGGAGUUCGCCUUUGUGGUCAUUUUGCUUCAGCGGACCAGUCAGCAAAUAAUGACUGCCCUUGGUCAUCCCUGGGAAGAUAAAGGAUUAUUAAAAGAGGGCCCGGCAGCUUGCAGAUUACACCUGCUACAUUUGGAGUGGAAAGAGGCUUCUCUGUCAGUGCCCCUUGCCCCCAUGGAAAGACACUAAUAGCAAUCUUCAACCAUAAUUGUUUGGUCCAUUUUGUUCUGGACCAAGUUUGCAUAAGUUUUAAGCCUGAAAGUCAAAGAAAAACGAAAUCUUACACGUCAACAUGGCCUUUCCAUCACUUGAAAAAGGCACCCUCUCUCUCUCUUUCUCUCUGCCUCGUAAACACAGCGGUCUUGCUCAGAGCAAUCUUGAGCUCUGAGCUGUGAAGAAUUGCUGUAGGUAGGAAGAAACGUUGGCUCUGGAAUUCAAUUAACUGUCAGCAUUGCUGUUCGAGUCAGGAUGACUCACUCCUCUUCAGCAAAUGGGCAUGGGGGCUGUGAGCCUCCAAGAUUAAUGGUGAUUGAUAAGCCGCUGGAGCUCCAGGACGAAGCCUCCCAGAAUCCUUCCCUCACCCACACACGUUUUUACAUGAAAAUAUAAUAGAUAGUGGGAGAGGAUGUGUGAGUACAGAGGAGAUGCUGUCAAGAAUUUGCCUGUAUCCUUUUCUUUUAUAUUGGUAAGUUUCACUGGAUUCUAAGCUACUGAAAAGCAGGGACUAUGUUUUAUAUUUCUUUUCUCUCAGUUCAUGUCCAAAUUAAUGCAUCAGGUGAAAAGAAAGGAUGCUGUCUGAUACCCCAUGAGGUAGGUAUGAGGCCCAUUCUAUAAAUGAGGGGAAGCAACGUGCUAAUAAGAGAAAAAGCUAGGACUCGGUCCCAGAAAGUCUGCCAAGGGUGCCAGCUCCAACCGCUGCAGGUGCCGCCUCUUCACGAGCACGUUACGCCAUUUCUCUCUUUAACACGGAAAGCAAAAUGUGGGCCUGACUGUGGUGAGGGCAUGCUUUUCCAUUCUAAAUGGCAGCUAGCAUGCAUUACAUGUACAAUAUACAACAGGAAUACAAUACGCGGGAGAGAAAACCUUCCCUCCCCUUUUCCUCAGGCACCUGGCUGGUUCAGGCUCCAGUGGCUUGGUUUUGUCGCUGGUGUUGUUAGUUUCCCCCAGCAUCCCCAUUCAUUUUCCAGAAUCCUCUGUCCCUCAUUGUAGUUUUGUAUUUGCAGAUACAAUCUAGGAAACAAUUCAGAUGGGAAAAGAAAUCUUUUCAUGAGAAAGGAUAGUAAAAUUAACAGAAAGCUGGUUAAACUUACAAUUUCCUCAAGUAUUGAGAAUAAACAUGAAUCCAUGAGAAUAAAAACUCAGUAUGGAUUUGUCCACAACGCUUAGGAGGAACAUGUUAGAAGUGCCACAUGCAGGCCAGGCGUGGUGGCUCACGCCUGUAAUCCCAGCAUUUUGGGAGGCCGAGGCAGGAGGAUCAAGAGGUCAGGAGAUCAAGAUCAUCCUGGCUAACACGGUGAAACCCUGUCUCUACUAAAAAAAAUACAAAAAAUUAGCCGGGUGUGGUGGCAUAAGCCUGUAGUCCCAGCUACUCGGGAGGCUGAGGCAGGAGAAUCGCUUGAACCCGGGAGGUGGAGCUUUCAGUGAGCCGAGACGCACCACUGCACUCCAGCCUGGGUGACAGAGCGAGACUCUGUCUCAAAAAAAAAAAAAAAGAAAAAGAAAAAGAAAGAAAAAGAAAUGCCACAUGCAUGUAAGAGUCCAGGCAGGGUGGUCAAACUGUCAGAUGCGCAACAUUCGAGGGGCAAAAAGGAUGAAAUAAGAUGCUCUCUAAACGCAUGAGCAAGACCAGCUGUCAAAGCACUGGCGCCUUUAUUCACACAUUUUGUAAACCUCAGGUAGACAGGAGACAGCAGUAAGUACGUGACCUCAGCGCGUGAUCCUCAUUCAAACUGGAAUUCGAGUAUCACUGGUCUCAGCUGCAGACAUUUCAGAGUGGGUCCAUUUGCUCUUAGGAACUUCCAGGGCACCCCAGCACCACUUGUUUUUGCCUUUGUCUUUGCUUUCCUUCCCCACAUCCCUACAAAACCAAACAGACUUGCUCUCCCAGCUUCACAAAGAGAAACGGAUUCCAAGAGGAAAUCACUUCACAGCAAGUGAGCCCUGGGAAGAAUUAAAGACUGAGGAGCCCUUGUAAUGAGAUUAAGGGAAAAAUGCUUUUGUGCAUCCAACUCAGACCCGUCCUCAGUAUGCAGGACGCGAGUGGUGCCAAAACAAACAUGGGUAUUGUUUUGGGAAGGAAAAGGUUAACAAGCUAUGAAAACAAAAUUAGAGAUAUUUUCAAAGCAUGACCCUCAGCAGAAUGAGUAGAAUGCAGUCUACCCAGGCAGCAGCAUUCCCUCCUCACUUGACAUUUAUCCUGCA
This 3441-nucleotide long non-coding RNA is filed under the name Homo sapiens (human). Its description in RNAcentral is "HSALNT0024276". The record is from RNAcentral. Lineage: Eukaryota; Metazoa; Chordata; Mammalia; Primates; Hominidae.